This 253-nucleotide ribosomal RNA is filed under the name uncultured prokaryote. RNAcentral's name for it is "partial 16S ribosomal RNA". It matches the Rfam family "Bacterial small subunit ribosomal RNA", at positions 524 to 776 of the family's 1533-position model. The record is from RNAcentral.
UACGUAGGAUGCAAGCGUUGUCCGGAUUUACUGGGCGUAAAGCGCGCGCAGGCGGCGGUGUAAGUAAGGUGUGAAAUCUCCCUGCUCAACGGGGAGGGUGCACUUUAGACUACACAGCUAGAGGUCGGUAGAGGGGGGUGGAAUUGCUGGUGUAGCGGUGAAAUGCGUAGAGAUCAGCAGGAACACCCGUGGCGAAGGCGGCCCCCUGGGCCGUACCUGACGCUGAGGCGCGAAGGCUAGGGGAGCGAACGGG